GAGGGUAUAGCUCAGUGGUAGAGUGUGUGCUUGGCAUGCAUGAGGUCCUGGGUUCAAUCCCUAGUACCUCCA
Molecule: transfer RNA, 72 nt
Filed under: Camelus bactrianus (Bactrian camel)
Lineage: Eukaryota; Metazoa; Chordata; Mammalia; Artiodactyla; Camelidae
Also listed under: 3 other names
Rfam family: tRNA
About the family: Transfer RNA (tRNA) molecules are approximately 80 nucleotides in length. Their secondary structure includes four short double-helical elements and three loops (D, anti-codon, and T loops). Further hydrogen bonds mediate the characteristic L-shaped molecular structure. tRNAs have two regions of fundamental functional importance: the anti-codon, which is responsible for specific mRNA codon recognition, and the 3' end, to which the tRNAs corresponding amino acid is attached (by aminoacyl-tRNA synthetases). tRNAs cope with the degeneracy of the genetic code in two manners: having more than one tRNA (with a specific anti-codon) for a particular amino acid; and 'wobble' base-pairing, i.e. permitting non-standard base-pairing at the 3rd anti-codon position.
Source: Rfam by way of RNAcentral